RNAcentral lists this ribosomal RNA (589 nucleotides) under uncultured Christiangramia sp. RNAcentral describes it as "bacterial SSU rRNA". It matches the Rfam family "Bacterial small subunit ribosomal RNA", at positions 337 to 918 of the family's 1533-position model. The record is from RNAcentral. Lineage: Bacteria; Pseudomonadati; Bacteroidota; Flavobacteriia; Flavobacteriales; Flavobacteriaceae.
UCCUACGGGAGGCAGCAGUGAGGAAUAUUGGACAAUGGGGGCAACCCUGAUCCAGCCAUGCCGCGUGCAGGAAGACGGCCUUAUGGGUUGUAAACUGCUUUUGUACGGGAAGAACCGCCCCCACGUGUGGGGGUUUGACGGUACCGUAAGAAUAAGGAUCGGCUAACUCCGUGCCAGCAGCCGCGGUAAUACGGAGGAUCCGAGCGUUAUCCGGAAUCAUUGGGUUUAAAGGGUCCGUAGGCGGGACGGUAAGUCAGUGGUGAAAGUCGAUAGCUUAACUAUCGAAUUGCCAUUGAAACUGUCGUCCUUGAGUUAUUGUGAAGUGGUUGGAACAUGUAGUGUAGCGGUGAAAUGCAUAGAUAUUACAUAGAACACCGAUUGCGAAGGCAGGCCACUAACAAUAUACUGACGCUGAUGGACGAAAGCGUGGGUAGCGAACAGGAUUAGAUACCCUGGUAGUCCACGCCGUAAACGAUGGUCACUAGCUGUCCGCCCCCAAUACGUUGGGGGUGGGUGGUCAAGCGAAAGUGAUAAGUGACCCACCUGGGGAGUACGUUCGCAAGAAUGAAACUCAAAUGAAUUGACGGGG